This 72-nucleotide transfer RNA is filed under the name Fasciola gigantica. RNAcentral describes it as "tRNA-Gly". The record is from RNAcentral. Lineage: Eukaryota; Metazoa; Platyhelminthes; Trematoda; Plagiorchiida; Fasciolidae.
GGUGAUGGUCGGGUGGUUUAGAACUUUUGAUUACCACUCCAAAGUUCGAGGUUCGAAUCCCCGCCAUCACCG